RNAcentral lists this ribosomal RNA (330 nucleotides) under uncultured eukaryote. RNAcentral's name for it is "partial 18S ribosomal RNA". It matches the Rfam family "Eukaryotic small subunit ribosomal RNA", at positions 1470 to 1796 of the family's 1831-position model. The record is from RNAcentral.
CCCUUAGAUGUUCGGGGCCGCACGCGCGCUACACUGAAGGACUCAGCGUGUCUCUCCCCCUAUCCCGAAAGGGAUGGGCAACCCGUUGAACCUCCUUCGUGCUAGGGAUUGGGGUUUGCAAUUAUCCCCCAUGAACGAGGAAUUCCCAGUAAGCGCGAGUCAUCAGCUCGCGUUGAUUACGUCCCUGCCCUUUGUACACACCGCCCGUCGCUACUACCGAUUGGAUGAUCCGAUGAAUAUCAUGGAUUGAGGAUGCAAGUAGGUUAGCCUAUCUUCAUCUUCGAGAAGUGAAGUAAAUCUUAUCAUUUAGAGGAAGGAGAAGUCGUAACA